CCCUUAGAUGUCCGGGGCCGCACGCGCGCUACACUGAAGGAAUCAGCGUGGCUCUGUCCCUGGUCCGAAAGGAUUGGGAAACCCGUUGAAUCUCCUUCGUGAUAGGGAUUGGGGCUUGGAACUGUUCCCCAUGAACGAGGAAUUCCCAGUAAGCGCGAGUCAUAAGCUCGCGUUGAUUACGUCCCUGCCCUUUGUACACACCGCCCGUCGCUACUACCGAUUGAAUGGUCCGGUGAAAUUCUCGGACGCGGACUAGCGAUGUUAAUUCGGAGCUUGACUGUGAAAGUUAAUUAAACCUUACCAUUUAGAGGAAGGUGAAGUCGUAACA
This 328-nucleotide ribosomal RNA is filed under the name uncultured eukaryote. RNAcentral describes it as "partial 18S ribosomal RNA". It matches the Rfam family "Eukaryotic small subunit ribosomal RNA", at positions 1470 to 1796 of the family's 1831-position model. The record is from RNAcentral.